This 255-nucleotide ribosomal RNA is filed under the name uncultured bacterium. RNAcentral's name for it is "partial 16S ribosomal RNA". It matches the Rfam family "Bacterial small subunit ribosomal RNA", at positions 524 to 776 of the family's 1533-position model. The record is from RNAcentral.
UACGUAGGGUGCAGGCGUUUAAUCGGAAUUACUGGGCGUAAAGCGUGCGCAGGCGGUUUCUUAAGUCAGAUGUGAAAGCCCCGGGCUUAACCUGGGAACUGCGUUUGAAACUGGGAGACUUGAGUGUGGCAGAGGGGGGUGGAAUUCCGACGUGUAGCAGUGAAAUGCGUAGAUAUGUGGAGGAACACCGAUGGCGAAGGCAGCCCCCUGGGUUAACACUGACGCUCAUGCACGAAAGCGUGGGGAGCAAACAGG